AUUGAACGCUGGCGGCAUGCUUUACACAUGCAAGUCGAACGGCAGCGGGGGCUUCGGUCCGCCGGCGAGUGGCGAACGGGUGAGUAAUGCAUCGGAACGUGCCCAGUCGUGGGGGAUAACACAUCGAAAGAUGUGCUAAUACCGCAUACGUCCUGAGGGAGAAAGCGGGGGAUCUUCGGACCUCGCGCGAUUGGAGCGGCCGAUGUCGGAUUAGCUAGUUGGUGGGGUAAAAGCCCACCAAGGCGACGAUCCGUAGCGGGUCUGAGAGGAUGAUCCGCCACACUGGGACUGAGACACGGCCCAGACUCCUACGGGAGGCAGCAGUGGGGAAUUUUGGACAAUGGGGGCAACCCUGAACCAGCCACGUCGCGUGAAGGAAGACGGCCCUACGGGUUGUAAACUUCUUUUAUACGGGAAUAAAGUGCCCCACGCGUGGGGUUUUGUCAUGUACCGUAUGAAUAAGGAUCGGCUAACUCCGUG
RNAcentral lists this ribosomal RNA (480 nucleotides) under uncultured bacterium. RNAcentral describes it as "bacterial SSU rRNA". It matches the Rfam family "Bacterial small subunit ribosomal RNA", at positions 30 to 507 of the family's 1533-position model. The record is from RNAcentral.